Long non-coding RNA from Aedes albopictus (Asian tiger mosquito), 1098 nucleotides. RefSeq lists it as uncharacterized. Lineage: Eukaryota; Metazoa; Arthropoda; Insecta; Diptera; Culicidae. The record is from RefSeq and is a predicted model, not a curated record. The transcript has 2 exons.
AUAUAAUGCGAUAAAGUACCAUAUGAAACACCAAUAAUCAUCGCAUUAAGUACCAUGUCCCAAGUUAGGCGUAAUACAAAUUGUUACGGAAACAAACGGUUCAUUCCGAAUUCUAUUAGCAGGUCGCAAACUCCAAAUUAUGGGUGCGAAGCAGCUUUAAGCUGAAACGUUUAUUUCAAUUAGUUUUAGUGUAAUUAGGAUAGUAUUUAUUUAAAUUUACUUACAAAAUUCGGUCUCAGAACUGGUUUUGAAUGUAGUGGUAAUCGCCUUUCAUGUUCUUCCAAAAACCUGUGAUAUUAGUUCUAAGAUAGAAAUAGUUAUUUCACUUUUAGAACGACUUACCAACUUGCAUGAUUUGCUAAUAUGUUAAUUAUAAGUUUUAACUUUAGGUUCAAAUUCAAUUGUAAAUAUCUGUAAAUUACCAAUUUAAGCUUUAAGAUUGGAACACAUCCUAGCUUUCAGAACUAUGCACCUGCCUAUCUUCUCGGCUCACUUUCGACAAACAAACUCUCUAUUAUCUGCGCUAUUCUCUCCCUAUCAUCGUAUUUGACUAAGCAGUGUUGGCAGUAACACAAAUAUAUACCCAUCAGUGCCCACCUAGUGCAAUGUAUUUGAAAGUGAACGUUUUUUCCUAAUCAGAUUGACAUCGUAUCAUGUCACUGAUGAAUCGGAUGUCUAGUUCCAAUGAACAGUUUCCUGUGAUGGAUUUCAGCGUAUUAGCACUAAGUGGGUAUCAAAUAAAAAAUCAACAACCAAUUAUUUACACGUGAAACUCAUAAAACAGUGUUUCCCAAGCUAUGUCUCAAGUGCACGUAAUUUGUACAAUUUUUGAAAGUUUCAAACUUCUAUCACGCAAAAAGUGUAUAUGUAAGUUAUUUGAUUUGUGUCAUUUUUGUUAAUCUGAAAAUCGAAUUAUGUAAGCCAAGCACUUGAAACACAAGGCCAGUCAUAAAAGUAAAAAUAUGUACUAUGUUAAUAAAAUAUUACAUAGCUAAGAAUCCACAAUUGUCGCACUUUUCAAGAUAUAAGUGCUUUACAAUGCUUAGAAUGGUUAUUGGUGACAAGAUUAUAAAAUAAAUAUGAAUAUUCUAAUUGUUC